RNAcentral lists this ribosomal RNA (406 nucleotides) under uncultured bacterium. RNAcentral's name for it is "partial 16S ribosomal RNA". It matches the Rfam family "Bacterial small subunit ribosomal RNA", at positions 29 to 526 of the family's 1533-position model. The record is from RNAcentral.
AUUGAACGCUGGCGGCAGGCUUAACACAUGCAAGUCGAGCGAGCGGCGGACGGGUGAGUAAUGUCUGGGAAACUGCCUGAAGGAGGGGGAUAACUAAUGGAAACGGUAGCUAAUACCGCAUACCAUCAGAUGUGCCCAGAUGGGAUUAGCUAGUAGGUGGGGUAAAGGCUCAACUAGGCGACAAUCCCUAGCUGGUCUGAGAGGGUGAACCGCCACACUGGGACGGAGACAAGGUCCAGACUCCUACGGGAGGAAGCAGUGGGGAACAAUGCACAAUGGGCGCAAGCCUGAUGCAGCCAGGCCGCGUGUGUGAAGAAGGCCUUCGGGUUGUAAAGCAAUUUCAGCGUGGAGGCGUUACUCGCAGCAGAAGCACCGGCUAACUCCGUGCCAGCCACCGCGGUAAUAC